AGCGAACGCUGGCGGCAGGCCUAACACAUGCAAGUCGAACGAACUCUUCGGAGUUAGUGGCGGACGGGUGAGUAACACAUGGGAACGUGCCUUUAGGUUCGGAAUAACUCAGGGAAACUUGUGCUAAUACCGAAUGUGCCCUUCGGGGGAAAGAUUUAUCGCCUUUAGAGCGGCCCGCGUCUGAUUAGCUAGUUGGUGAGGUAAAGGCUCACCAAGGCGACGAUCAGUAGCUGGUCUGAGAGGAUGAUCAGCCACAUUGGGACUGAGACACGGCCCAAACUCCUACGGGAGGCAGCAGUGGGGAAUCUUGCGCAAUGGGCGAAAGCCUGACGCAGCCAUGCCGCGUGAAUGAUGAAGGUCUUAGGAUUGUAAAAUUCUUUCACCGGGGACGAUAAUGACGGUACCCGGAGAAGAAGCCCCGGCUAACUUCGUG
Molecule: ribosomal RNA, 433 nt
Filed under: uncultured bacterium
Lineage: Bacteria
Description: partial 16S ribosomal RNA
Rfam family: Bacterial small subunit ribosomal RNA
Source: RNAcentral